CCUACGGGGGGCAGCAGUGGGGAAUAUUGGACAAUGGGGGGAACCCUGAUCCAGCCAUGCCGCGUGUGUGAAGAAGGCCCUCGGGUUGUAAAGCACUUUCAGUGAGGAAGAACGCCUGGUGGUUAAUACCCAUCAGGAAAGACAUCACUCACAGAAGAAGCACCGGCUAACUCCGUGCCAGCAGCCGCGGUAAUACGGAGGGUGCGAGCGUUAAUCGGAAUUACUGGGCGUAAAGCGCGCGUAGGUGGCUUGAUAAGCCGGUUGUGAAAGCCCCGGGCUCAACCUGGGUACGGCAUCCGGAACUGUCAAGCUAGAGUGCAGGAGAGGAAGGUAGAAUUCCCGGUGUAGCGGUGAAAUGCGUAGAGAUCGGGAGGAAUACCAGUGGCGAAGGCGGCCUUCUGGACUGACACUGACACUGAGGUGCGAAAGCGUGGGUAGCAAACAGGAUUAGAUACCCCAGUAGUC
RNAcentral lists this ribosomal RNA (465 nucleotides) under Vreelandella stevensii. RNAcentral's name for it is "partial 16S ribosomal RNA". It matches the Rfam family "Bacterial small subunit ribosomal RNA", at positions 338 to 795 of the family's 1533-position model. The record is from RNAcentral. Lineage: Bacteria; Pseudomonadati; Pseudomonadota; Gammaproteobacteria; Oceanospirillales; Halomonadaceae.